Molecule: ribosomal RNA, 204 nt
Filed under: uncultured eukaryote
Lineage: Eukaryota
Description: partial 18S ribosomal RNA
Rfam family: Eukaryotic small subunit ribosomal RNA
Source: RNAcentral
UGGUGGAGUGAUUUGUCUGGUUAAUUCCGAUAACGAACGAGACCUUAACCUGCUAAAUAGCAAUGCUAAUCAUCUAAACAGGUGAAGCUUGUACUUGUUUGGCCGCAAGGUUAGGCAGUUGCAGGUGAAUCCUUGAUGUUUUGGUACUUUUACUUCUUAGAGGGACUAUCGGUGUUUAACCGAUGGAAGUUUGAGGCAAUAACA